AGAGUUUGAUCCUGGCUCAGGACAAACGCUGGCGGCGUGCGUAACACAUGCAAGUCGGACGAGGGGGAGGAUUUCUUUCGGGAGGUUCUUUCUUGAGUGGCGGACGGGUGCGUAACACGUGGAUAACCUGCCCUGGUGUGGGGGAUACCCUGUAGAAAUACGGGCUAAUACCGCAUACGGUCGAGAUCGGGGAGCCGGUC
RNAcentral lists this ribosomal RNA (200 nucleotides) under uncultured bacterium. RNAcentral describes it as "partial 16S ribosomal RNA". It matches the Rfam family "Bacterial small subunit ribosomal RNA", at positions 8 to 196 of the family's 1533-position model. The record is from RNAcentral.